AUACGGAGGGUGCAAGCGUUAAUCGGAAUUACUGGGCGUAAAGCGCGCGUAGGCGGUUUAGUCAGUCAGAUGUGAAAGCCCCGGGCUCAACCUGGGAACUGCAUUUGAUACUGCUGAACUAGAGUAUGAUAGAGGGAAGUGGAAUUCCGGGUGUAGCGGUGAAAUGCGUAGAUAUCCGGAGGAACACCAGUGGCGAAGGCGACUUCCUGGACCAAUACUGACGCUGAGGUGCGAAAGCGUGGGUAGCAAACAGAAUUAGAUACCCUAGUAGUCC
Molecule: ribosomal RNA, 274 nt
Filed under: uncultured bacterium
Lineage: Bacteria
Description: partial 16S ribosomal RNA
Rfam family: Bacterial small subunit ribosomal RNA
Source: RNAcentral